ACCCGAACGGACGGACGCAACGCCCGGUCUCUGCCUGCCCCAAUCCCGACUCCAGGCCGUCGUCCCCAACACACCAUGAGGACGAAGAUGGCGGCGGCGCUGGUCCGGGCCUCCGGGGGGAUCGGACCUCCUACGCCUGCCCGAUCCUCCUACUUCUCCUCGCGCUGCUCCUCGCUGUCCCCACUCGCGGCCAUCUCCAACGCCUCCUCCCACGCCUACGCCUUCGCGGGCCGUCAGCCGAUGCCCGCCCCGGAUCCCACCUUCUUCGAUGAUGUCGUCGACGCCAUCGUCGACAAGUACGGCUGGGACCCCGACGCCGAGGUCCGGGUUUGGCCGCUUGACGCCGAGGGCGCGCUCGUCGACCCCGUGUAGUGCUACGAGUUCCCCGCCCACGUGGGGCCCCGUGGUCGCGCUGGCGCGGGCCUCCGACGGGGCCAUCGACUGGAGCCUCCCCGACGCCCCCGUGGUGGAGGAGGUGGUCGGGCCCAACGGGGUCGACUUCGUGACCGGCGAUGGUGACCUGGCGUUCGGCUCCGGCGUUAGGGUCCGUGACAUGGUAGGGCCGUUCGAGCUGGUGGUCUGCGAUGGCGCUGGCAGGGGCCGCGCAGAGCUCCAGUUGCCGUCGGUGAGUGUUGUUUGACUUUUAUCUUUGUUGCUUCAGUUUUUUUGCUUCUGCUUGCUUGCUUGCUAUGCUCUUGAAGUUGUGUGGCCUGUAACAUGAAGCAGUUACUACAAUUGGUGAAUGGUCUAGCUGCUGCUUAUCCCUUUUCUGUUUCUGACUUUGAAUUGAUUGCGUUUGUUGUAGUGUCUGCACCACCGCCCGUUGAUUAGAAUGCAUGUUUCGGCAGUCCACGCAUCGAUCACUGGCAAAUUAAAAAGGCAUGAACGCACUAAACAGAAAUUCUGUGUAGAUGAUUCUUGUAUAUGGCAGUGGCACACGCGCUGGUUGAUGAAGCCGCUGGGCCGGAAGGCCCUCUCAUUGCCAUGCUAAUGAGUAUCACGACGAACAUGGCCCCCACCUCAAUGCCUCCCUGUCGGCGGUGAGGUCUGUCCGGAUCUGUACAACCCGCAAUAUUAGUAAAGAAAAAGAAUAGCUUGAUUGUUCUAUGACUCUGUCGUGGAUAGGUAAUUUGCAUCAGAGGUCUAUAGGAUCUCCGCCAUUAGUUUCCCAUUAGAAAAUUGAGUUACUAAAUUAAGGAAGAUGUCCAAAGAGAGGUAAUCGAUGGCAUGAUAUGCAUCAGAAGAUCCUCAUCACUGAAGUAGUACUCCACCAGUCCACCUACAGUUUUGGAACAUAUAAACACGGCAUCAAAGUGCUACCUGGCACCAAAUAAAGAGUUCAGGUCAGGGUGUUAUACUGCAGCUAAGCAGUAUAGUCUGAAUUUCUAAGUUUGAGGAGGAUUUCAGUGUUUCUAAAGAAAGGGACAAGGAUCAGGGCUAUAAGAUUGUUGAAAGACUCAGAGACAUGUACCAUGAAUCGGGUACAGUAUGCUUUCUACCCGUCUUUUCCUUAUAUUGACUAAACCUUAGUAAAUAACUAUUUCCAGUUUUCUCAUGUAACCUGAACUGCUGCUGGUUUAAAUUUCAGUUCCGUAAGCUGCGGCACACAUGGUCUGCCUCCGUGUCGUCCUACCUGCUUCAGGGCCCUCUACUUCUUCCCCCAAGAUUGCCAUUAUGAUUAACAAAUCUGACGAGAGCAAUUUAAUUGGUGACACAUCAUAUUUAUUCUGCAACUGCAUGUGAAUUCUCAUCUUGCGCCUACCUCUUUUGCUUACCAGGUUGCAAAAUUUCAUUAACUUAUUUGUCGAAGUAUCCUGCAAAAUCAUUUCUCUUAUGGGAAUUAGCCUAUUGUAUUGAUCUAACAAGGUCCACUUCAACCUACAUAACAAUUAUGCAGUGAAGAUGGAGAGCUUUAGGCAAAAAAAGAAAGAAAAAAAACUAGCACGUGAUCUAUGUAGAAUAAUUUUGACAGCAACUCCAACUGUAAGAUUGCUGAAGUUAUUUCUAUGAAAGUUUGUAAGUUUUCUUGAUAUCUAUGUACACCGACAUAUAUCGCAAUUAAUGUUGGCAGAUGCAAUGGAGUACACUUGAUGCGAUCAAUUCUGGUGUGUGUGUGUGAUGCAAUGACGUAUGAAUAACGACAGAAAAAUAUGCCUGAGGAGUAUGGGAUUGACGUGCCCUAUAUGCGGCGACCCGCGGCUACUCCUCCCAGCCCCGGAUAUGCUCUUCCGCCACCUGCGACCCGCAGCUCCAAUGAUCCACGACAAGGGAUGACGACCAACUCGGCUGCCCCUCCCUCGUGCAGCUCCCUCUGAGGCUGCAGCAGCCUUCGCACGAGGCCACUACGGUGCCACCUAUGCUGUCCUAAAGUUCCCUCAGAUUCGACAGUUUCAGUUUCAUCAGUUUCGUCAGAUUUAGUUUCAUCAGAUUCAGAAAAUUCAGUUCAUCAGUUUCAUCAAAGUUUCAGUUGUCAGUUAAUUUGUCGGGCACGUUGGCACUCAUGCACGUCGUCCGCUUCCUCACAUCACUCGCUCACAAAGCCCACCUGCCGAUCCAAACAACGGCUUGGUCAGGGAUCGGACUGGACUAGACGGUGUCCACCAUGACCUGAAGGCGAUGCCCGAGUCCAAGUGCAUGCCGUCAAUAUUCCAAACUGAAGUCCAAGGAAGAACGAUCAGGAACAACAGAUUUCCAAUGGAUGCUGGUAUUGUCGGCUGACAUCUCCGGGGCUGUACAUCAUGAUGGUUACCAAGACACGACAAUGAUCUCAAUGCUACAAACCUGAAUGGAAUACCAUAACUGCAGACCUGAUCACAAUGCUACAGACUUGAAUGAAAUACCAUGAUUGCAGGCCUUUGCUGAUUUGCGUUUUCCAUUGAUCUUCAAUGCACUAAAGAAUAGUGAAAUCUUGGCAUCUGAUUCAUUUUGCAGGCUAUGCUUUUAACUCAAUGAAAAUGUGCAUUGUUAGUUGACCUUAUUGUCUGUUUGUAGCUAAUUGGGAGACAAACAUGGGCAAUGAGCAGCUUUUUUGAUGACAGUGCAAUCAAGGACUCACAUAUUCACUGAUGAAUCUACCUCUAUUUGGUACUGUGUAUAUACCUGAAAAUAGUAGCAUCGGCUUUGCAUAUUUAUUUUCUGAAUCAGCAACACUGUAUUAGGGUCUUCAUCGGCAAUGUACAUAGUGAUGCUUAACUGCCGGUUUGAAUUAUUGGAUGCAUCUGUUGUGAGACAUUCAUGUGUUGUCAUAGUGACUUGCCUGCGCUCAUUGUUGAUCGCUAAGAAGUGAGUUGGUCCAGAGAUUGCAGCUGAGAUGGAGCUCAGCAGGACAACUAGACAUGCACAGCUUGGUAUUAGUCUUAUCUAAAAUUUUACAUAUAAGUUUUUUCCUAGAUUCAAGUACAUUAUAUCAUUAUUUUGCAGGUGUGAUCCACAGAGGAGAUCACAUUUCCAGUCCAGUCAUAAAUUAUUAUAAUUAUUUUACUCAUGUUCAUACUAAAUUUGAAACGGGUCAAUCCACAAGCUUCUGAUCCUCGGUUCAUUUGUGAACUAUAUCCAUGUGUUCUAUCAAGGAUCAUUUUGGCGCAUAUGGAAAAGACAAGCAAUUUUGUUACCAGAAUUAUCAUAUUUGUAAGAUCAAUCACCCAUGGGUUCUGCACUUCACUAGAAAUAAUUUGUACCCUUGACCUGAUAAGUUGUUGUUGUUGUUGUAUUAUGAAUUAUUCAUAGUGUGAGACCAAAUUUAUUGUUUUAGUUUCAUACAAUUUUUUGUUCUUUGAUAAA
Triticum urartu is the source of this 3780-nucleotide non-coding RNA. NCBI's taxonomy places the organism in Eukaryota, Viridiplantae, Streptophyta, Magnoliopsida, Poales, Poaceae. The record is from RefSeq and is a predicted model, not a curated record.